This 67-nucleotide small RNA is filed under the name Scrippsiella trochoidea. RNAcentral's name for it is "partial Betaproteobacteria transfer-messenger RNA". Lineage: Eukaryota; Dinophyceae; Peridiniales; Peridiniaceae. The record is from RNAcentral.
AUUGGUGCAACCUCUAGCUUGGAGGUCUCGACGCGGGUUCGAGCCCGCUGGGCCACAAAGGACAUCC